CCCUCUGCUAGCCAUAUCACUCACACAACGAGCAAAGCUAAACCUUCCUACGUUCAACGAACACCAGAGGAAAUGGUUUUCCGGCGAGAGAAGGGCCUAUGCUAUAACUGCGAUGAAAAGUGGAACGCUAAUCAUCGAUGCAAAAGGCAAGUAAUGUUGUUCAUCGCCGAUGAGCAAUUGCCGCUACCAGAGACUGUCGAGCUAGGACCUGAGGGGGAGCAGGUUGCAAUUGUUAGCGAACACACAGAAUCCCCGUCUGAUAUCGGCUGCUUUCAUACAUAAGCCUCCAUGCGUUAU
RNAcentral lists this unclassified non-coding RNA (297 nucleotides) under uncultured bacterium. Its description in RNAcentral is "contains 16S-23S intergenic spacer region". The record is from RNAcentral.